This 440-nucleotide ribosomal RNA is filed under the name uncultured bacterium. RNAcentral's name for it is "partial 16S ribosomal RNA". It matches the Rfam family "Bacterial small subunit ribosomal RNA", at positions 338 to 795 of the family's 1533-position model. The record is from RNAcentral.
CCUACGGGUGGCAGCAGUGGGGAAUAUUGCACAAUGGGGGAAACCCUGAUGCAGCGACGCCGCGUGAGCGAUGAAGUAUUUCGGUAUGUAAAGCUCUAUCAGCAGGGAAGAAAAUGACGGUACCUGACUAAGAAGCCCCGGCUAACUACGUGCCAGCAGCCGCGGUAAUACGUAGGGGGCAAGCGUUAUCCGGAUUUACUGGGUGUAAAGGGAGCGUAGACGGGUUAGCAAGCCAGAUGUGAAAGGCUGGGGCUCAACCCCAGGACUGCAUUUGGAACUGGCGUGCUGGAGUGUCGGAGAGGCAGGCGGAAUUCCUAGUGUAGCGGUGAAAGGCGUAGAUAUCUGGAGGAACAUCAGUGGCGAAGGCGACUAUCUGGCACAUAACUGACGCUGAGGAGCGAAAGCGUGGGUAGCAAACAGGAUUAGAUACCCCUGUAGUC